AUACGAAGGGGGCUAGCGUUGUUCGGAAUUACUGGGCGUAAAGCGCACGUAGGCGGACUUUUAAGUCAGGUGUGAAAUCCCGGGGCUCAACCUCGGAACUGCAUUUGAAACUGGAAGUCUGGAGAUCAGGAGAGGUUAGCGGAAUACCGAGUGUAGAGGUGAAAUUCGUAGAUAUUCGGUGGAACACCAGUGGCGAAGGCGGCUAACUGGACUGAUACUGACGCUGAGGUGCGAAAGUGUGGGGAGC
RNAcentral lists this ribosomal RNA (247 nucleotides) under uncultured bacterium. RNAcentral's name for it is "partial 16S ribosomal RNA". It matches the Rfam family "Bacterial small subunit ribosomal RNA", at positions 523 to 769 of the family's 1533-position model. The record is from RNAcentral.